RNAcentral lists this transfer RNA (76 nucleotides) under Clostridia bacterium. RNAcentral's name for it is "tRNA-Thr". It matches the Rfam family "tRNA". Rfam says of the family: Transfer RNA (tRNA) molecules are approximately 80 nucleotides in length. Their secondary structure includes four short double-helical elements and three loops (D, anti-codon, and T loops). RNAcentral also lists the same sequence under 1 other name. Lineage: Bacteria; Bacillati; Bacillota; Clostridia. The record is from RNAcentral.
GCUGCUAUGGCUCAGUUGGUAGAGCACAUCCUUGGUAAGGAUGAGGUCAUCAGUUCGAAUCUGAUUAGCAGCUCCA